This 65-nucleotide transfer RNA is filed under the name Paraleptophlebia submarginata. RNAcentral describes it as "tRNA-Thr". It matches the Rfam family "tRNA". Rfam says of the family: Transfer RNA (tRNA) molecules are approximately 80 nucleotides in length. The record is from RNAcentral. Lineage: Eukaryota; Metazoa; Arthropoda; Insecta; Ephemeroptera; Leptophlebiidae.
GUUUUAAUAGUUUAAACAAAACGCUGGUCUUGUAAGUCAGUAAUAGAAGAAAUUUCUUUAAAACU